RNAcentral lists this long non-coding RNA (1477 nucleotides) under Anas platyrhynchos platyrhynchos (common mallard). RNAcentral describes it as "lncRNA (ENSAPLG00000024455.1)". Lineage: Eukaryota; Metazoa; Chordata; Aves; Anseriformes; Anatidae. The record is from RNAcentral.
AUGACUGUGCAAAAUGAAGGUGAAUUUCCACUGUCCUUACUCAUACGUUCCUGGAAUUUUACCUUUCAGGAAUUACACUACCUGUUUGAAGAGGGACACCUUGGACAGCAGAGUGAAGGAGGUGUAAUAUUAAAACUAUUUAUUCUCUUUAACACUGCACGUUCUUGUUUAAUACAGCAGAUACCAGGACUCCGUUGCAUGAUGUGCAGAAAAUCAGGUGGUCCUUGCCAAGAAGAAAAAGACAAAUGGAAGGGAAAGAGGCAAAGAGAUAAUGUAAAAUAUAAGCUGAGCAGGACAUGGAUAAGAAGUAUUUUUUACCACUUCAUUUCAUAGCUCUGUUUCAUGCUUUGUCAUAUUGUUCGUAAACAAAUGGAAACCCAACAGAAGACAUCUUAACAAAAAGCUGUCGGGUGAGCAUGCCUUAGUGUUCACUCCCAUAUUACUUCCACUUAAGUUUCUCUUUUCUUUUCCCCUCCCACUUAGACUUUCUUUCUUGGCCUGGUGGGCACUGUUGGAGGGAGCCUGGGCAGUGGGGUAGGUUGCACCUCAGUGGUCCUUUUGGUAUUUGUGUUACUCCUCCAAGCUGUUGCCAGAAAUAGGAGCAUGUGGGACAAAAAGGCAGGCAGUCACUGCACAGAGGAGCUUGCAGUCUAAGUGGAAGCUCUACUGUCUGGUUUUCCACCCAAAUAUAUUAAUGUGCCGCAGUAGGUCUUCAGCUUCAACUCCCACCAGGAUGUUUACAUUAAUGGGCUGAGGUGAGCUCUAGAUCCUUAGUUAUCCGUCUUUAUGUCUGUCAGGAUUUUUUUUUCCUGAAUAAUUCUACAACACUAUCUGCUUUUCAAGACCUGCAUCUUACUUCUGAUGCCUGGGCAGCUAUGACCAACACCACAGCAUCAUUUUACCUCUCAGUCAUUCCCAGACUGUACUGACAUCUUUAUUUCCAGUCUCUAGCCAUGACCUUCUCUUUCGUACAAUUUUACUGCUAAAUCCAGUACAAAAGUUAUCAAGUUCUUCCUCUGUCAUACGCUAAUCCUCCUCCAGACUAUAGCUAGCCCCUAAUUUUCAUACAUCAUCAGAUAUCAAUAUAACCCUUUUCCUUCUUUUUUUUUCUUUCUGCCACAGCCACAGGUGAAAAUAUUCAACAAGGCCCAGCCCAGAAGCAAUUCUUACAUGGCUGUAGUGACUGUCUUUCAGGCCAGCACUUCCCAACUCAGCAUUUUGCAGUUUCAUCCUAGUGUUAGCAGGCUUCUGACCCACUUUCUGCUUAUUCCCAUCUCCAGUUUAACUAAUCAUUACCCCAUAUCAAAUGCAUUCCUGGAGCCCAGAUAGAUGCUAUCUAAUGCAUUUCCUUUGACUAGAAAAUCAGUUAUCUUAUCAAAGGAAGCUAUCAGGUUAGUUUGGCACAAUCUAGCAUUGGUAGACAGGAGACAGAUGGUAAGAUGCAGAUGGGGAGGGAAUAAAAAGAAACCCAUACACA